Molecule: long non-coding RNA, 226 nt
Organism: Neocloeon triangulifer
Lineage: Eukaryota; Metazoa; Arthropoda; Insecta; Ephemeroptera; Baetidae
Exons: 2
Source: RefSeq, a predicted model, not a curated record
UUGUUGACAAAGUGCAUCGUGUCUCGCCGGGGUCAGGGUCAAGAUUAAGCCAGAAUUUGGCCCGAAGUUGGCAAAAAUCGGCUGAAAUGCAAAGUGAGAAGAGCUUUCCAGUCAUCGCAGCAGCACGCAAUCCAGCCAGAUUCGUCAUUCGCCGGCGGAAAAAUGCUGCUCUUCUAAUUUUGGGGACAUCUCUCAGCAGCGGUGAUGCCGGUUGGACGGAAAAGAG